Molecule: long non-coding RNA, 5747 nt
Filed under: Triticum aestivum (bread wheat)
Lineage: Eukaryota; Viridiplantae; Streptophyta; Magnoliopsida; Poales; Poaceae
Description: long non-coding RNA (TAES_LNC007015)
Source: RNAcentral
CCACAAGGCCACAACGGCAAUAUGGGUUGCUGCUCACCGUCGCGCCGCCACCUUCUCUGACUGUGAUGGCCACCAAAGGAUUGACGCCAAUGAUCCUCAACAGCCACCUUCUACCCAUUUGCCGCUGAUAUAGAUGUUUUUUAAUUGCUUGAAAAACUGCAACAUAACCCACUAUACAUCAGUGUUUGCUUGCUCUAAACUUUUAGUUCUCCAUCUGGUUCUUCAGUUAUGUUGAUUGCAGACAAACAGCUGUCAAUUUCAUGUGGCCCAAAAGGGCCCCUUCUCGUGCGGUUACAUCACACGCAAGGAGGAGUAGAGGAAGUAUGUAGGUAUGUACGAGUAAGAAUCUUUUCCCAUGCAUAAUUAGUACUCCAAAGGUUAUGGAUAUUUUCAGUGUACGCCAUGUGCGAUUUUAUCAGUACACACCCUUAAAAAAUUCAUGUUGUGUAUGUUUGUUCUUUUCAGUGUAUUUGCAAGAUAGUAAAAAUAAUUUAUUGUGCAGGUUGCACUUCUAUUAAGAAACUAUCAGCGUGAACCGCUGGACUUAAACUGCCAAAUAUGUUCUUGAUCACCAACAGGUAUAUUGCUCUCCUUAUACACACAUAUGUUGCUGUUUUUUAUUAAAAAUAAAAUCCAUCGUCCUGAUAGCAAACGGUAUUUAGUUUUCUAGACACUUUAUGUGUAAUUUGUCCUAGGUAUUUGAUAGUUGUGAUCUUCAAGCCAUUUCAACAAAAUCUAAAAAGUGGGAACUGGUGUUUUGGAAGCAAAAUACAAAGCAACUAAGACGAAACAAAAGACUUAGCAACAAAAUCUAUAGUGGAAACUGAUAUUCAAGCCAUUUCAUCUGUUAUUGGUUAUUGAUUGUUCAGUGACCAAACUGCCGUUAGUUAAUUCUGAUUUUGAUUAUAGCUCAUAACAACUUAAAGACGUCGUAAUAUAAAUAUAGCAAAUAUUAUGGUAUAUUUCCUACAGAGGUUAAGCAGAGCUGAUCUAAAGAAUUCAGAUAACUCUGUGCAACAGUGUGAAACUAUUUGAAGUACAUUUUUCUCUUAUAUAAAACCAACCAAAGGAGGAGUGAGUCCAUUAGGUUUUUCUGUGAUAAAAAGACUGUAGACAACUUCAUGAGAAAAAAAUGGCAGCUUUAUCUUGACGAUUACAGUUUCCAGUCUAGCUCAGGUGUUUCAUGGAUUCUGAAAUAUCUAUUCUUGAACCCUACUGAAGUGGCCUUCUUUCUGAGGAAAAUAGUUCACGAAUGGAUUACUUGGAAGGCAAAACUUUACAGUUCCUUCCAAGUGAAAUUACUUGCAAAAUACAGAAUUCAGGAGAUAUUAUUCCAGAUUCUGAAAACCAUGCUUCAAUCAUGUAACCACUAUCUAUUUCCACCAUUGAAACUUCUCUGCUAUUUUCUUUAGAGGCAUAUGGGACCUCUGAAAUCAAUGAAACUUGACUAUCAUGAUAUAUUUCUUCACUGAUUCUUUUUUAUCAUGGAACUUAACUAUCCAGUGUGUGUAGUGGCAAAUAGAUGCUUAAUGGUACUGCUACAUGAUUAGGAUAGCAACAUAAUUAGGCUUCUUACCUGCAGUAGAUACAUCCAAGAGUAUACAACAACCAGGAGUACUUCAGACUCCUUUUCAGAACCAUCUAAUGCUUUUUGCUUGGUUGUAAUGGAUCGUCGUUUAACAAAAACACGUGCAGAAAAUCUCUUGUCAACUGAUAGAUCCCUGAACUUGAGAUAUUGGGAAAACACUUGUAGAAACUCUUUAGAUCUGGAGAAGAGAAAUGAAGAGCUCUAUAGCUGAACAAGGAUCAUCGUUUGGCACAGGUGAAUAACUCUUACGCUGGGUCGUGUCCCUUCAUAUUUUGUUUCUUUUGGUGAUCAUGUUCCCCCUCCAGUACACACAUUGUUUCAUCUGUACAUAACCAUUGAUCUUGUACUCAUAUGAACAAGGCAAUGGUGCUGACCUGUGGCUUCAACCAAAUGAAAGAAUUAGUGGCAAAAGUACUCCAAAGUGCAUAUACUUAUUACGGUGAAAAUAACAAGUUUUACCAAUUUUAAUCCACCAUAUUAAACCACCAUCAACAUGGCACAGGUAAAUUAAAACAAUUAAUAAGUAAACUGGCAAAUUUCAAAGAUAUACUCCAAGUUAACAAUGUCAUAGCUUGCAAUAGCUGCUUCUAAGAACUACAGUAGUUGCAAUUUUAAUCCACAGGAAAAAAGAGCCAUCACUUAUUAUAAUAACAAAUGGAUCUCUAGCAUAACCAUAAAGAACUUCACAUUUUAAAGUUUAACCUAUUCUAGAAAAAUAUACCUAUUCAAACUGUUCACUGGAGAAUAAGCAGAUGAUCUCCCAUACUUAGAAGCAGCUAAAGCAGCAUCGAGAUCAUCUGGUGUAGCCCAUACUUUAAUGUUGGUGUCAUCUCAAAAUUAUAUAUGAAAUAGUGUCAGUUUUUAAAACACUAAAUCUUGUUCGAUGAUUCAGAUUUUUUUUUGAAAUGGAGGCAAAAGAUUUGCCUCAUCUAUUAAAUAAGGAGAGAAUAGAGCUUAGAGUUUUACAACACACCCACAGGUACGGCAUGACAAUUACUCGCCCGCAAAAAUAUACCCUAAUUUCUUUGCACCGGCGGUCACCCAAAGCUUGGCCUCGUCGACGAUGGCGGCGAGUAGGAUGGUCGGUGGCGCACUCUUAUGACGAAACACCCAAGCGUUUCUUUCUUUCUAAGAUGAUUCAGAUAUCAAUAAUUCUGUUUUCGAUCAACAAAUUAAAUAUUUUUCCAAAAAAAAGAACUAAAUAAUAAUAGAAAAGAGGUUACCCUUGAUUAUAGACCAUCAAUCCGAAAUUAGUUGAUCAAUUCCGAUCCAACCUAGGCAAUUCCUUGUCUGCUAUUGUCAGUAUUCCCAGCGGCCGCUUGUGUGUGGCCGGAGGCGCUCGGCGAAGUCCAUGUUCUUGUGUGCAUCGAGCGCCUGGAGACGGGAGCGAAGCAGCAUCGCAUCUGUGGCUCGUAAUCAGGGCCCGGGAUUAACAAACUCAGAAUUGAAAUUAGGAAAAAGAAAAGGAGUACAAGGACGUGGGCUACAUGCAUGACGAACAUGAUCAACCCGAUUAGGUAUGCAGAUUAGGCUGGUCAUAGUGGGGAGUAACUUAGACUAGUAACAUACAUAUGUUACUAGUCCAUGUUACUACCUUCAUCAGGCUAGCCAUAGUGGGAGUAACUUAGGUAGUAACAUAACACAUCUCAAGAAACAAUUGCUUAUGUGGCAUGGAGUUAAUGAGGAAAGAGAUGCUUGUGGUAACAUAAUAUGUUACUGUAACAUAACACACUUCAAGACAAAAUGAGUCUAUAUCUCAAUUAAUGAAGGCUUGCAUGUUAUCAUCCAUAUGUUACUACCCACUAUGAAGGUAGUAACAUAGACUAAUAACAUAUGCAUGUUUUUGGAGGGAGGGAAAAAAUCGGUGGGAGGAAGAUCGCCUGGUGGGGGGUAGAUCGAUGGAAGAGAAACGCACGAUGCGAACGAACCACUUACGUAUUGAGACAUUAGGAGUAGGGAUUUGAAAUCUCACUUUUGCGCAAAUUAAAAUUUAGUUUUAAUUUAAAUACGAAUUUGAGUAAUUUUGCUAUGUCUUUUAUUCUGUAAAUCAUAUAAAAAUGUUUUAUAUAUGGAAGUUGGACCUUAGCCGAAAAAGGCUUUCGCCCCGCUAUAUUGAUAUAGCAACCGCCCAAUACAACAAAGAGUCCAAUGCUGGGGCAAACAGCACAAGCAUGCCCAAAAGAAACAAAAGAGAAAGAAGAGAGAAAAUAAUGUCCACAGCGUCGGAUCGACGAAAACGAUGAUAACCCAAAACCGUUGCGCCCACCGGAGAUGUACCACCUCGCUCCAGGCACCUCGAACCUCCGCAUACCAAGCAGCACCUUCAGGAAGGAACACGACGACGACGACGACGCUGCUGCCCGGACAGGUCCUAGGGUUUCCCCCGGUACGCGGAGAGGCGUGGGGAAGGGGAAGACCCGACGCCCUUCAGGAAGGAACGAUGGCGCCCACGGGCGUCACCGCGUCGGGGCCGGCAAGCCGGCCCGGAUUUCUCCCAUCCGCCAAACACCCACAACCCCGAACGGUCCGACGCGCACCACCAGACAAGCCACCCACGAACGUGCGCCACCACGGACUUGCCAUCAUCACCGCCGCUUCACCGUGGUCAUCGAAGCGAGACCGACAAGGACGAAAGGGAGCAGCCGGGAACGAGGAACGGCAGCGAGAGCAGCCACGCCGGGGGACACAACCUCCACCGCCAUCGGCGGUCACCGACCGGACGCGGCAAGGGGAGCGUACCAGGCCCUCGAGGCCCGGCCAAGCCCAAAAGGGGCUCGUGAAGCACCCGUCGCCGAGCUGCAGUAGACGUGCCGCCGUGUCCACCACCCCCUCGCACGAGCCGCACCACCACCGCCCCGGCCGGAGCCGCCGCAGGCGAGACCGAGUCAGGCCCGCCCAGAUCCAGAUGAGGCCCAAAAGGGCCCAGAUCUGGGCCGGGCGGGCGCCGCCACCAUCCACCGCGCCAGCGCGCCGCCAAGGGGCUGCGCCGCCGCCUCUAGGCCAUCCGGAGCUGCGCCGCCUGGAGCAGCCGCCGCUGCCGGAAUCACCAUGGACCGAGGAGCACCGCCGCGGGACGCCACCACCCGAGCCGUGGCACCNNNNNNNNNNNNNNNNNNNNNNNNNNNNNNNNNNNNNNNNNNNNNNNNNNNNNNNNNNNNNNNNNNNNNNNNNNNNNNNNNNNNNNNNNNNNNNNNNNNNNNNNNNNNNNNNNNNNNNNNNNNNNNNNNNNNACGCGGGGGGCGGGCCGGGAGGGAGAGGGAGGCGGGGCGCGGCGCGGCGCACGCGGCCGAAGGCGCGGGAGGGUGGGGGGAGGGGGCCGGCGGCGGCGGCGGAGCGGGGGGAACCCUAGGAGGAGCGGAGCGAGUUCCUCUGUUCACACCUCCUCCCACUUGUAAUCGUACUCUGGCAGGGAGAUUUGGAUUGAAACCCAAGUUGGACCUUAGGACCUAACCUUUCUGUUGGAACUGAUGGAUUAGUUCUCCAACAUAGUUUAGAUGUUGUUUUAUCAUCAACAUCUUAAUUUGACCUUCUUUGGUCAUCGUUUAAAAACUUCGUUGAACUAAAAAUUUAAUCUUAGGAUAAAUCUCUUAGAUUGAUCCCUAGAAAACCUCUCUGGUCAUUUGAACCACGACAAAAAUCUGGAGUUACAAGAUUAUGGAUUUAAUUCUUUUAUCUCGAAACCUAUGCCAUACCAUUGCCGUUUACCCAAGUCAAAUAUUCCGAAUAGUCUUGUGAUAAAUUUGUUGUAUGAACUUGGUCUCACAACCCUUCAGACCAUAAUCCUCACUUAGUAUCAAUAUUAUCCAACCCUAGAAUAUGACUAUGUCAUAUUUUCUUCCAAGACCACACCUAAUCCUAUAUCAACCCUAACAAUGCCAUAGAAAUUAUGAUAGUGGCAACCGAAUAAUUUGUGUUGUUAUUUGUAUUUUUAUUGUAUGUUGAAUGCUUGCUUGAACCAUUGUUAUGUAAUGUGGAUAUGCCGAGUGUCUUACUUGAGUUAUUUAUCGCGUUAGAUUACGACGAGUGCGAAGGUGAAUUCUACGAGGAGGUAGAACCUUGUGACUGCAAAAUCGAAGGCAAGUUGCAAAUUGAUCAUGCUUUGACCUAUGUUUUCAUAUUAUGCAUAAUCUUUUGUAUUUUAAUGCUAUGCAUGUUUUAC